This 345-nucleotide ribosomal RNA is filed under the name Triticum aestivum (bread wheat). Its description in RNAcentral is "partial small subunit ribosomal RNA". Lineage: Eukaryota; Viridiplantae; Streptophyta; Magnoliopsida; Poales; Poaceae. The record is from RNAcentral.
AUGCCCAUUCGGGCCCAGGUUCGUGAUGUCUCUUUCGAGCUCAAGACGGAGAGUAUGGGAUCGACUUUCGGGGAUCAGUUGGGGGAAGUGGUGGAUGUGUCGCACCGUAAUCAUGUCAUAGUUGAAAAAUUCUUGCGAGUGCGUGUGGGUAUCUUGCUGCACAAGCCGCUCAAGAGCAUUAUAGAGUUCACCCCGUUAGGAAGCUCCAAGAAAAUUAGAUAUGAUGUCCAGUAUGAAAAACUACCUCAAUAUUGUGAGUGUUGUGGGCUUAUAGGUCAUACUUCGGAGCGUUUCUGUAGUAUUCCAAAAGAAAAGAGUGUAGCUAUCUACCCAAGAAAAUCUUAG